This 253-nucleotide ribosomal RNA is filed under the name uncultured bacterium. RNAcentral describes it as "partial 16S ribosomal RNA". It matches the Rfam family "Bacterial small subunit ribosomal RNA", at positions 524 to 776 of the family's 1533-position model. The record is from RNAcentral.
UACGAAGGGGGCUAGCGUUGCUCGGAAUCACUGGGCGUAAAGCGCACGUAGGCGGCUUUUUAAGUCAGGGGUGAAAGCCCGAGGCUCAACCUCGGAACUGCCUUCGAUACUGCGGGUCUCGAGUCCGGGAGAGGUGAGUGGAAUUCCUAGUGUAGAGGUGAAAUUCGUAGAUAUUAGGAAGAACACCAGUGGCGAAGGCGGCUCACUGGCCCGGUACUGACGCUGAGGCGCGAAAGCGUGGGGAGCAAACAGG